GACAGAGGAUGCAAGCGUUAUCCGGAAUGAUUGGGCGUAAAGCGUCUGUAGGUGGCUUUUUAAGUCUGCCGUCAAAUCCCAGGGCUUAACCCUGGACAGGCGGUGGAAACUACCAAGCUGGAGUACGGUAGGGGCAGGGGGAAUUUCCGGUGGAGCGGUGAAAUGCGUAGAGAUCGGAAAGAACACCAACGGCGAAGGCGGCUCUCUGGAACGCAACUGACGCUGAGACGCGAAAGCGUGGGGAGCAAACAGG
RNAcentral lists this ribosomal RNA (253 nucleotides) under uncultured bacterium. Its description in RNAcentral is "partial 16S ribosomal RNA". It matches the Rfam family "Bacterial small subunit ribosomal RNA", at positions 524 to 776 of the family's 1533-position model. The record is from RNAcentral.